RNAcentral lists this ribosomal RNA (447 nucleotides) under Salmonella enterica subsp. enterica serovar Kentucky. RNAcentral's name for it is "bacterial SSU rRNA". It matches the Rfam family "Bacterial small subunit ribosomal RNA", at positions 1 to 444 of the family's 1533-position model. Lineage: Bacteria; Pseudomonadati; Pseudomonadota; Gammaproteobacteria; Enterobacterales; Enterobacteriaceae. The record is from RNAcentral.
AAAUUGAAGAGUUUGAUCAUGGCUCAGAUUGAACGCUGGCGGCAGGCCUAACACAUGCAAGUCGAACGGUAACAGGAAGCAGCUUGCUGCUUCGCUGACGAGUGGCGGACGGGUGAGUAAUGUCUGGGAAACUGCCUGAUGGAGGGGGAUAACUACUGGAAACGGUGGCUAAUACCGCAUAACGUCGCAAGACCAAAGAGGGGGACCUUCGGGCCUCUUGCCAUCAGAUGUGCCCAGAUGGGAUUAGCUGGUUGGUGAGGUAACGGCUCACCAAGGCGACGAUCCCUAGCUGGUCUGAGAGGAUGACCAGCCACACUGGAACUGAGACACGGUCCAGACUCCUACGGGAGGCAGCAGUGGGGAAUAUUGCACAAUGGGCGCAAGCCUGAUGCAGCCAUGCCGCGUGUAUGAAGAAGGCCUUCGGGUUGUAAAGUACUUUCAGCGGGG